UUUUAAUAGCUUAUAUAGAGUAUAAUAGUGAAGAUAUUAGGGAGGAGUUUUUCUUAAAGUA
Molecule: transfer RNA, 61 nt
Filed under: Plateros sp. UPOL A00483
Lineage: Eukaryota; Metazoa; Arthropoda; Insecta; Coleoptera; Lycidae
Description: tRNA-Phe
Source: RNAcentral